This 429-nucleotide ribosomal RNA is filed under the name Pseudomonadota bacterium. Its description in RNAcentral is "Proteobacteria bacterium partial 16S ribosomal RNA". It matches the Rfam family "Bacterial small subunit ribosomal RNA", at positions 355 to 776 of the family's 1533-position model. Lineage: Bacteria; Pseudomonadati; Pseudomonadota. The record is from RNAcentral.
UGGGGAAUAUUGGACAAUGGGCGAAAGCCUGAUCCAGCCAUGCCGCGUGUGUGAAGAAGGUCUUCGGAUUGUAAAGCACUUUAAGUUGGGAGGAAGGGCAGUAAGCGAAUACCUUGCUGUUUUGACGUUACCGACAGAAUAAGCACCGGCUAACUCUGUGCCAGCAGCCGCGGUAAUACAGAGGGUGCAAGCGUUAAUCGGAAUUACUGGGCGUAAAGCGCGCGUAGGUGGUUCGUUAAGUUGAAUGUGAAAGCCCCGGGCUCAACCUGGGAACUGCAUCCAAAACUGGCGAGCUAGGGUAGGGCAGAGGGUGGUGAAAUUUCCUGUGUAGCGGUGAAAUGCGUAGAUAUAGGAAGGAACACCAGUGGCGAAGGCAACCACCUGGGCUCAUACUGACACUGAGGUGCGAAAGCGUGGGGAGCAAACAGG